Long non-coding RNA from Cylas formicarius (sweet potato weevil), 509 nucleotides. RefSeq lists it as uncharacterized. Lineage: Eukaryota; Metazoa; Arthropoda; Insecta; Coleoptera; Brentidae. The record is from RefSeq and is a predicted model, not a curated record. The transcript is spliced from 3 exons.
ACAAGGGUGUUUUCCAAUAGAAUGUGAUCCCUCAAGGGCAUGAUUUUUGCACCAACUUUGAGAAGAUAACUUCACGCCUGAGAUACAGGGAAUAUCCUGGAGUAGAUGCCAAUAUUCAAAAAGUAGAAUCGAAAAUUAAAUCACACCAAGAAACUAACCAAUCAUGUAUACACAUCUAAUUACACUCCCCAUUUACAACAUUAACGUUGGUUAGAAAACUGUUGGCAUGAAUUUCUAUAUCAUUUGUCAAGCAGGGGCAUAACGUAGGAAGUUCUGGCUUGUGCUACGUGACGAAGGUAGACUGGUUGGAAUUUCAGAUAAAUGUUUUUUAUACCCUGAGAAAGGCGCAACAUCCCUGAAUUCCGUAAAAUUAAAUCAUACUUUUGAAAAUGUUCCCAUAACAUAUGGGGUCAAACGGCCACGAUUCUGCGAUAUUAUUCAUGUCUGACGUUUCAUUUGAAAACUAAACACGAAGUUACCCGAGAAUAAGGAAAAGAAUAAGAUUUCAG